AUGAGAUCCCACCAUCGGGUCCUCGCCGCCCACGCAAGGCGAGGAAGUCCGGCCACACACCCGCGGCCAUCCUCCAUCAAGGAAGGCGCCGCCCACCUUGACCAGGGCCGCCACCCCGGCACACCAAGCUCUCCACGCGAGGAGCAGCCAGCCCCGCCACCACCUUCCUCGAUGCCGUGCGGGCUUGCCGGCGGCUAUCUCUGGUGGCGGCGAGAUCUAGAGGGAGGGGGAAGGGGGCCGGCGGCGCUAGAGUUGGGGCCGCCCGAGUCGCCCCAGAGGAGCGACGCGGGGGCAGGAGGAGCGAAUGUUGGUUCAUGCCAUGAGCCCGAGAUAUAA
RNAcentral lists this ribosomal RNA (336 nucleotides) under Triticum aestivum (bread wheat). Its description in RNAcentral is "partial small subunit ribosomal RNA". The record is from RNAcentral. Lineage: Eukaryota; Viridiplantae; Streptophyta; Magnoliopsida; Poales; Poaceae.